UACGUAGGUGGCAAGCGUUGUCCGGAUUUACUGGGCGUAAAGGGUGCGUAGGCGGAUUUUUAAGUGGGAUGUGAAAUACCCGGGCUCAACUUGGGUGCUGCAUUCCAAACUGGAAAUCUAGAGUGCAGGAGAGGAGAAUGGAAUUCCUAGUGUAGCGGUGAAAUGCGUAGAGAUUAGGAAGAACACCAGUGGCGAAGGCGAUUCUCUGGACUGUAACUGACGCUGAGGCACGAAAGCGUGGGUAGCAAACAGG
This 253-nucleotide ribosomal RNA is filed under the name uncultured Clostridium sp. RNAcentral describes it as "partial 16S ribosomal RNA". It matches the Rfam family "Bacterial small subunit ribosomal RNA", at positions 524 to 776 of the family's 1533-position model. The record is from RNAcentral. Lineage: Bacteria; Bacillati; Bacillota; Clostridia; Eubacteriales; Clostridiaceae.